Molecule: ribosomal RNA, 468 nt
Filed under: uncultured bacterium
Lineage: Bacteria
Description: partial 16S ribosomal RNA
Rfam family: Bacterial small subunit ribosomal RNA
Source: RNAcentral
GACGAACGCUGGCGGCGUGCUUAACACAUGCAAGUCGGACGGAAAGGCCCUGCUUUUGUGGGGUGCUCGAGUGGCGAACGGGUGAGUAACACGUGAGUAACCUGCCCUUGACUUUGGGAUAACUUCAGGAAACUGGGGCUAAUACCGGAUAGGAGCUCCUGCUGCAUGGUGGGGGUUGGAAAGUUUCGGCGGUUGGGGAUGGACUCGCGGCUUAUCAGCUUGUUGGUGGGGUAGUGGCUUACCAAGGCUUUGACGGGUAGCCGGCCUGAGAGGGUGGCCGGCCACAUUGGGACUGAGAUACGGACCAGACUCCUACGGGAGGCAGCAGUGGGGAAUAUUGCACAAUGGGCGGAAGCCUGAUGCAGCAACGCCGCGUGCGGGAUGACGGCCUUCGGGUUGUAAACCGCUUUCGCCUGUGACGAAGCGUGAGUGACGGUAAUGGGUAAAGAAGCACCGGCUAACUACGUG